RNAcentral lists this ribosomal RNA (253 nucleotides) under uncultured bacterium. Its description in RNAcentral is "partial 16S ribosomal RNA". It matches the Rfam family "Bacterial small subunit ribosomal RNA", at positions 524 to 776 of the family's 1533-position model. The record is from RNAcentral.
UACGGGGGGGGCAAGCGUUGUUCGGAAUUACUGGGCGGAAAGGGUUCGUAGGUGGCCAACUAAGUCAGACGUGAAAUCCCUCGGCUCAACCGGGGAACUGCGUCUGAUACUGGGAGGCUAGAGUGCGGGAGAGGGAUGCGGAAUUCCAGGUGUAGCGGUGAAAUGCGUAGAUAUCUGGAGGAACACCGGUGGCGAAGGCGGCAUCCUGGACCGACACUGACGCUGAGGCGCGAAAGCUAGGGUAGCAAACGGG